This is a long non-coding RNA of Prinia subflava (tawny-flanked prinia), 3571 nucleotides long. RefSeq lists it as uncharacterized. The record is from RefSeq and is a predicted model, not a curated record. The transcript has 3 exons. NCBI's taxonomy places the organism in Eukaryota, Metazoa, Chordata, Aves, Passeriformes, Cisticolidae.
AACAACACAAAACCAGAAAUCACACACCAUUACAAAUGUAGUUGGUGGAUACCUAUACUGAAAUGUGAUAGAACAUUUUAGUUACUUGUAACUUUCUUUUCAACUUCUUUGGAGAAAUGGUUAGCAGAAAAAUGUUGUUAAUGAUCCAUGCUUAAAUAAGCUUUUCUAUAUAUUAAUGAAACCAAAACUGCUCUGUGAGGAAUACAAUAGCAUUAUAAGAAAAUUAGAUCUGUAACAUUUCUGAGGUUAUCAGUUUAUAUUCAGGAUAACAGAAUACACCUAGACAAUAAAUACUCAUGGAAUAGUUGUAUCAAGUUGUAUCAAGUGUGAAUCAUAUAAUUGCUAGUCCUGUGCACAGUACACAAGAUCCUUUUUGCAAUCCUAGGGCUUCUGCUGCACAUUUAGGGAUGACUAAGAAAAACAGACUGAAGUGUGCACCUUUGCAUGAGCCAAAAUCAGUUAGUUUGACAAAUAUCACCACAAUGCUCUUCAGCUCCUCGAUUCAGAUUUUCUGUGUGUUCACACUGAAAGAUGGUGACUGCUUCUAAGUGCUACUUCUGCUUUCUGAUUGCUUUGCACUAGAUAAUUUUUUAACAAAAUAUUCAUCUUUUGAGUUCUUUAUUAUACCAAUGCAUCACUGUGCUCCAGAUUUUAUAGUAGGUAACUCUCACCAUGGCAGUCAGCAAAAAAAAUGUUUUUCUUUGUAAGCUUUACCUUUCAGUGUCUAGAAGAAAGAGUUACUUGCAGCCCAUAUUUGUUGGCAUUUCUGGAUCAACAGUUGCUCGUACAAUAUGUGUAGAAUAUGUAUACAUAAACAAUAUGUAUAUACAAUACAAGAGUAUUACAUGCUCAUUUAGCAUUUCCUGGUCUCCACUGUAAUGAUCCCUCUCUUUAGUACUUUCUUCAGAGGUAAUAUCACCAUCUUAAUUUAUAAUGAAUAAAAAGACUGAAUCAUAGAUUAUUUUUGGAUGUUUCAUGAAAGAUGUACAUCAAAAACCCACUUCUUAAAAAGGUUAUCUCAAUAUUAUUCUCCACUACUGAUAAGUAUGUGAGAUUUCUCACAUUAAUCAUCCAGUAACACGUGUUCAGUAUCAAUUUCCACUUAAAUUAGUCACUAUUAGUCUAGUGGGUGAUUUGCUUUGUAGAAAAUGACAAGUCUGAGUAAUUAGCUUAAUUUAUGUUAUGCGACAUGCACAGUGGGGUUUUUUUAUCUGUGAUUAUGUCAUCUGAAGUGAUGCUACUGUAAGGAAUGAUCUAUGUGCUAUUUUGUACAUAAAAUAACUUAUGGAAGUAACGGUAUGUAGUUUCAAAAAUACACUAUUUAGGCUAAUGCUUAAACGUUUUGUAUAGCACAGCUACUAUAUUAAAUUACUGAAAGUUAAAAUAAACAAUCUUUUUCCUCACUGCACUGCUUUGAAGCAAUCAAUAAACUAGUGAAUGUCACUGAUGUAAGGUUAACAAUUUGAUUUAAGUUACUUGUCAUAUAAUUAGUAUAAAUAUUUUUGUAUAUACAUUAGCAACUAAGCUCAGAAAAUGUGCAAGCAAGCAACUUGCUCUGAAUCAGCAAAUUUUUUUGGCACAUCCUACCAAUUUUAUUAUAUAUGUAUCAUCAUGAAUGAAACUGUUAGUUUUCUAAAAUCAAAUCCAUAUUUCUGAGGAUGGCUGUUUCUUUACAGAAGACUUCCAAUGCCACUCCCUUAGCAAGUCAAAUGAGAAGUGUCUUCACAAGAAAAUACAGACUUGUAGUAAUAUUUAAAACAUGAUGAGUUGUGUCCUGUGUAGAGCCAGGAAUUGGAUGAUCCUGGUUGGUGACCUCCAACUGAGCAUAUUCUAUGAUUCUAUGAACCUCUUACCAUGCCAAAGCCUUUUUUCAUGCACAAACCUGCACUCGGAGAUAACCAAAGGGCUCCAAAUCAAGGGCAUUUCUUAAGACUUUCUGUCUGAAAUUCAGAUGUCAACAAAUUGACCAGAAAAGGAUGCCUUCUGAAAGGCACAGCCUGCUCCAGGGGGAGAGGGAGAGAGCACUUACCCAGAGACUGCCCUGUGGAUGUGAGGCAGAAGCUGCUGGGGCUAAGGGAAGUCCUCAGUGUUUUUCCCUCCCUCAAAAUCAUGCAAAUUAAUGAAGGAUGAGGGUUUGUUUACUUUUAAUACUCACUUUUUCCCUUCCCACUUCAUAUGUUUACAUUAAUUUUAGGCUAAUUAACAUUAACCUCACAAAUUAUUAAUAAAGGGCAAGGUGUUAUGAAAUCAGUGUCCCCUUUGCAGAACAAACUUUUCCCUCUCAUGGAAAAACCUGAUCAAUGAUGAAAUGUCAUUUUCUGAUUUCUUGGCACUAAACCAUUUUACCUUUUAUAUCAAUCCUGCAAAGCUUUAUUUUUCGCAGGCCAAAAUACUGUUUGGUAUUAAACUGAGCAAUAGUCUUGGGACACUCAGCUGAAAUGCCACCUUGACUCUGAGGAAACAAACAUAGCAAAAAACUCAGAGCUUUGUGCUUCACAGAUUCAAACCUGAUAUUUGUAAGAAAAUUCUCUAGUCUUACUUCCAUAUGUUUAUUUUAUGUGAUGUGAAAUAAUCAAAACAAGAAAAAACUGCAAUUUUAAAACCCAUCUACUGACACAUUUUCAGAGAAUUAAAUCCCCACCACCACUAUUUGAGAGAGUCAUUCAUUCCUCCUCGUAUCCAGUAACUACUGUAAUUGGUUAAGCACAGCAUGGCAGAUACAUUCACACAUUUUAGCUGAAAAAUGUAAAUUUGUUGACUACAGUUUAUAUUUAGCAUUUUAAUAGUCAUAUUUUCUAUAAUCUGCUGAGACUCAUGUUGUGCAACAGAAUAUACUAUGCAAAUCAUCUUCAGGGAAAAUACAUGUUAUAGAGGUAUAACUACUGUAAAAGGAAUUUUAAAUGCCUUCCUAUUCUCUUGGCACCCAUUUCUUAAAAACAUCUGAAAUAUUCCUGGUUAUUUUCUGUAGAUAUACAGAAAACACAAAGGUAUUUUAAUUUUGUUGCCCAUACAUGAUACAAUAUACUACUCUUUUUUGUAUGAUAGUAUAUGAAAAAAAAAGUCCAUAGCUGAAAAAUACUUUUUUCUGGUAAUCCCUCUGAAAAAAAAAUCAAAGGCCUUUUUCAGUUAUUUUCUCAAUCAGUUCUGGGCUGAAAUUUUGCCUUCAAAACAACAGCAGGAUGAGGCACGAUAGUCUUUUAAUUAGAGCUAUUUAGUCUAAUUUCCCCCUUCCCCCCCUAAAUCUUGAACAUCAUUCAUUUUAGACAAAAUCUUAACUUUUUAAAUUAAAUACUAUUUCUUUCCAAAGAUCUGAUACCAUAACUAGUAGGCUAAUUUUCUAUUUUAACAGGUUGAGAUAGGAACAGCUGUUAAAUCAGAAUUCCCUUGAAAAACACCAUCAAAGCAUUUUAAAUGUCAGAGGCAAAAAAUUAUAAUCAUUACACAUGUAAGAAUAUGACUUAUCAAAUUAGAAGCAUGAUUUAUUUUGUUCAGGAGUGGUGGAGUGCAAUAAUUAUUCAGUGUUUGGAAUCUUAUCCAUGACCUGCUUAAUAUAUUAAAAUAUAUUGCUUUU